AGCGAACGCUGGCGGCAGGCCUAACACAUGCAAGUCGAACGAACUCUUCGGAGUUAGUGCGGACGGGUGAGUAACACGUGGGAACGUGCCUUUUGGUUCGGAAUAACUCAGGGAAACUUGUGCUAAUACCGAAUGUGCCCUUCGGGGGAAAGAUUUAUCGCCAUUAGAGCGGCCCGCGUCUGAUUAGCUAGUUGGUGAGGUAACGGCUCACCAAGGCGACGAUCAGUAGCUGGUCUGAGAGGAUGACCAGCCACACUGGGACUGAGACACGGCCCAGACUCCUACGGGAGGCAGCAGUGGGGAAUCUUGCGCAAUGGGCGAAAGCCUGACGCAGCCAUGCCGCGUGAAUGAUGAAGGUCUUAGGAUUGUAAAAUUCUUUCACCGGGGACGAUAAUGACGGUACCCGGAGAAGAAGCCCCGGCUAACUUCGUG
RNAcentral lists this ribosomal RNA (432 nucleotides) under uncultured bacterium. Its description in RNAcentral is "partial 16S ribosomal RNA". It matches the Rfam family "Bacterial small subunit ribosomal RNA", at positions 29 to 507 of the family's 1533-position model. The record is from RNAcentral.